GGAGGGAUAUUCUUGGUAUAAAUCAAUGCAAGUUGUAUCUAAAAAAUAAGAUAAAAUAAUACUUUUCUGACUGUGUGAGUAUUACUGAUGUCUCAUUCAUGGUUUCCAGGGUAAGUCCGGUUUGCCAGGUAAUUAUGGAGACAAAGGAUCGGAGGGACCACGAGGACAUCCCGGGAUACCAGGUCUCGACGGGUUCCCCGGACAGUCGGGUGAAAAGGGAGACAAAGGACUGAGAGGAGAUUUGGGUCUGCCAGGGCGAGAUGGCGGGCCACCUGGACCUCCAGGGCCUCCCGGACCUCCAGGACAAGUCACCCACCAGACAAGCGAUGUGAGUCCGUCGUUAACGUGGAGAUUAAAUAUCAAAUUAACUGAAGCCUCACAUGAACGCCUGCCUUUUCAUAAAGUUACUCAUAUUUUACUAACAGUCACUGCCUGCUGAGUUGUGUGUUCACCUCCACACUAACUAACUUUGUCUUGCUGUAGUCUAAUGAAGUAUAUUGGAACGAAGGGUGGCAGGUGAGUGUCCCCUAACCGCACUAAAGUUACUUUAACACGUUUGCUGUGUAUUUGUUUGUUUGCGUCACGUGUCCUCGCUCUCUCUUCUUUAGGGAGGAGUCAGUAUUCCGGGUCGAGCAGGAUUCCCAGUAUGUAUCUCUGUCAUUAUCACGCAGUUUGGAAAAGUCCAAUCAAUGUAUGUGAAAAUGUAUUAAAGUGUAUUAAAUGUUUUCGUUUAGGGGCCCUCUGGACCAAAAGGCGAAAGGGGAGACUCAGGUCUUCCAGGAUAUGCAGCUAAAGUAAGAUAAUCCACUUUUUAUUUCAUUAAUUCAGCGUUGAAUUUUCUUUUUUGUUGCAACAUCGUACACUGCAAAGACAGAUUUGUCCUAUUGCAGUUGUAUUUACAUAAAACAGCCAUGCAUGAACAGCCAUGUUAAGAAAAUUACCUUUCAUU
Molecule: long non-coding RNA, 949 nt
Filed under: Cottoperca gobio
Lineage: Eukaryota; Metazoa; Chordata; Actinopteri; Perciformes; Bovichtidae
Description: lncRNA (ENSCGOG00000020466.1)
Source: RNAcentral